AGCAGCCGCGGUAAUUCCAGCUCCAAUAGCGUAUAUUAAAGUUGCUGCAGUUAAAAAGCUCGUAGUUGAAUUUCGGGACCAAUACGUCGGUCGUGCCUCGGUACGUACUGGCAUCGUUGGUUUCUCCCUUCUGACGAACCAUGAUGUCAUUUACUUGGUGUCGUGGGGAAUCAGGACUGUUACUUUGAAAAAAUUAGAGUGUUUAAAGCAGGCUCACGCUUGAAUACAUUAGCAUGGAAUAAUGAAAUAGGACGUUUGAUUCUAUUUUGUUGGUUUCUAGGAUCGACGUAAUGAUUAAUAGGGAUAGUUGGGGGCAUUAGUAUUCAAUUGUCAGAGGUGAAAUUCUUGGAUUUAUUGAAGACUAACUACUGCGAAAGCAUUUGCCAAGGAUGUUUUCAUUAAUCAAGAACGAAAGUUAGGGGAUCGAAGACGAUCAGAUACCGUCGUAGUCUUAACCAUAAACUAUGCCGACUAGGGAUCGGAUGAUGU
Molecule: ribosomal RNA, 489 nt
Filed under: uncultured Glomeromycotina
Lineage: Eukaryota; Fungi; Glomeromycota
Description: SSU rRNA
Rfam family: Eukaryotic small subunit ribosomal RNA
Source: RNAcentral